Molecule: transfer RNA, 69 nt
Filed under: Acidobacteriota bacterium
Lineage: Bacteria; Pseudomonadati; Acidobacteriota
Description: Acidobacteria bacterium tRNA-Lys
Source: RNAcentral
GAAUGGCCAAUCCGUAGAAAGUGGCUUUUAACCAGUGGGUCCCAGGUUCGAGCCCUGGUCGGAUCACCA